CGCUACUUCAACCAUGUCGAUAUAUCUACGUUAUUUCGACUGGAAAAAUUGUUGAGUAAUUGUAAUAGAGUCGCUAUAGCAGACAUAAACGAGAGGUUGAGUGUCAACUGUUUUUAUCCAACUACUGGAAUAUUUAACAGACAAAAGUCACAAGAAAGCAAAAAGCAUGGAAGAGAAAACAGAAAGUAUUCCGGUUUUCCGCUGUUGGUGGUCACCAUCGGAUGAAGGAUGUACAGAUGUGAACCCAGAAUCAACGCAUUUGGAUUUCAACCAGUAUGGAUGGCUAUAUAUUGGAGGUGGAGUUUUGGUACUCUUCGCAUUUAUUGGAUUGGUUUCGGUGUUGUGCAAGGCAACAA
Molecule: long non-coding RNA, 356 nt
Organism: Styela clava
Lineage: Eukaryota; Metazoa; Chordata; Ascidiacea; Stolidobranchia; Styelidae
Source: RefSeq, a predicted model, not a curated record